Molecule: ribosomal RNA, 424 nt
Filed under: uncultured bacterium
Lineage: Bacteria
Description: bacterial SSU rRNA
Rfam family: Bacterial small subunit ribosomal RNA
Source: RNAcentral
UAAGGAAUAUUGGGCAAUGGAGGCAACUCUGACCCAGCCAUGCCGCGUGCAGGAAGACGGCCCUAUGGGUUGUAAACUGCUUUUAAUAGGGAUUAAAGUCGACUACGUGUAGUUGUUUGCAAGUACCUAUAGAAUAAGCAUCGGCUAACUCCGUGCCAGCAGCCGCGGUAAUACGGAGGAUGCAAGCGUUAUCCGGAUUUAUUGGGUUUAAAGGGUGCGCAGGCGGACUAAUAAGUCAGUGGUGAAAUUUACAUGCUUAACAUGUGACGUGCCAUUGAUACUGUUAGACUAGUAUACAAAUGACGUAGCUGGAAUGUGUUAUGUAGCGGUGAAAUGCAUAGAUAUAACACAGAACACCGAUCGUGAAGACAGGUUACGAAUUUGUGAUAGACGCUCAUGCACGAAAGCGUGGGGAUCAAACAGG